GAUGAACGCUGGCGGCGUGCCUAAUACAUGCAAGUCGAGCGAACAGAUGAGGAGCUUGCUCCUCUGACGUUAGCGGCGGACGGGUGAGUAACACGUGGAUAACCUACCUAUAAGACUGGGAUAACUUCGGGAAACCGGAGCUAAUACCGGAUAAUAUAUUGAACCGCAUGGUUCAAUAGUGAAAGACGGUUUUGCUGUCACUUAUAGAUGGAUCCGCGCCGCAUUAGCUAGUUGGUAAGGUAACGGCUUACCAAGGCAACGAUGCGUAGCCGACCUGAGAGGGUGGUCGGCCACACUGGAACUGAGACACGGUCCAGACUCCUACGGGAGGCAGCAGUAGGGAAUCUUCCGCAAUGGGCGAAAGCCUGACGGAGCAACGCCGCGUGAGUGAUGAAGGUCUUCGGAUCGUAAAACUCUGUUAUUAGGGAAGAACAAAUGUGUAAGUAACUAUGCACGUCUUGACGGUACCUAAUCAGAAAGCCGCGGCUAACUACGUG
RNAcentral lists this ribosomal RNA (497 nucleotides) under uncultured bacterium. RNAcentral describes it as "partial 16S ribosomal RNA". It matches the Rfam family "Bacterial small subunit ribosomal RNA", at positions 28 to 507 of the family's 1533-position model. The record is from RNAcentral.